Molecule: microRNA precursor, 68 nt
Filed under: Medicago truncatula (barrel medic)
Lineage: Eukaryota; Viridiplantae; Streptophyta; Magnoliopsida; Fabales; Fabaceae
Description: MIR5291 microRNA precursor family
Rfam family: MIR5291 microRNA precursor family
Source: Rfam by way of RNAcentral
GAUGGAUUAAAUCCAAUCCAUUAACUAUUUUUUGUUUUGUUUGGUAGAUGGAUUGGAUGGAUAUUAUG